UACGUAGGGGGCUAGCGUUGUCCGGAAUCAUUGGGCGUAAAGAGCGUGUAGGCGGCUCAGUAAGUCCGCUGUGAAAGCCCGGGGCUCAACCCCGGGAGGCGGGUGGAUACUGUCAAGCUCGAGUCCGGAAGAGGAGUGUGGAAUUCCUGGUGUAGCGGUGAAAUGCGCAGAUAUCAGGAGGAACACCAAUGGCGAAGGCAGCAGUCUGGGACGUGACUGACGCUGAGACGCGAAAGCGUGGGGAGCAAACAGG
RNAcentral lists this ribosomal RNA (253 nucleotides) under uncultured bacterium. Its description in RNAcentral is "partial 16S ribosomal RNA". It matches the Rfam family "Bacterial small subunit ribosomal RNA", at positions 524 to 776 of the family's 1533-position model. The record is from RNAcentral.